UGGCCUUCCCCUUUGGACUCCUGCCUGUU
Molecule: non-coding RNA, 29 nt
Filed under: Mus musculus (house mouse)
Lineage: Eukaryota; Metazoa; Chordata; Mammalia; Rodentia; Muridae
Source: RNAcentral